UGAGAAACAUGGUUCCUGCCCUCAAGAGGAUCAAAUUUGGAGAAAAAGGUAGAUAAUCAUAUCAAAUAGGGUGAGAACAAGCACUGAAAUCAAGUUUAUUGUUAACAUGUGGAGGAGGAGCACCUCAUUCAACCUGCAUUCAACAAGAAGUACUUCUCAAAAAUGUCAAGCUCAAGACGAGUAUUGAAGAACCGGUAGGAAUUGGCCAAGCUAAAAAGAGACAAAGAGGGCUCCAUACACAGGCACAUAUACCUUUGUAUGUGUCUCCUUGCCUAUGAACUGUAGAGUAAAACUCAUUACAAGUAUUCUGGAUCCAUUUUUGGCUAAGUGAAGAGGAAAGUUUUACCAGCUGAUGGCCGUUUGAUGACCUACAUGGAAAGAACUGGUAGACUCAGGAGAGCACAAUUGAGAGAAGUGAUCACAUCACAAAAUGUGACAUCAUUCUUUGGCACCAGCUGGCAUCCUGGACAUGGAGAGUGAGUUAUAUUCUCAACCCUGAAUUUUCCCCUCCAGAUUACCCUUGUGGCUCACCAGAGGGCAGUGUGCAGUAAUCGGCCCUACUGCUUCCUGCAUUGGAUGUCUCCUAUGGGACAAUGUCAAAUAAUCAGAACCAGAAAUCAGAUACAUUUGGAGGAGUCAUUGCUCUUGAAACCCCAAAAGUCUACUCAAACAACAAAUGCUUAUUCAAAUGUUUUGAAAUUUAUAAAUGUGAAAUUUUAAGAGGAACGUAUUGAGCACGCAGGGUUAACAAACUUAAAUUGCAUCAUUAUGUUAAAUGGGGCAAACUUCAAAGUGUUCUCCCACCACUGAGGAAAAUAAGGUUUGUUACACUUAUUGUUGCUAAAAAUUUAAGAAUACCAUAACAUCACCAAAUGGUGAAUUUGUGCUUAAUGAAAAGGAAAGAAUUGCAACCUUUCACUGAUGCAACCAUAUUCUGUGCAUUUUUUUUUCUUUUUAACAGAAAACUAUAAUACAACACUUAAAGGAAUCAAUAACAAUCUGGUUGAAUAAACAAAAAGAACUAAAUAUGACUUCCUUUAAU
RNAcentral lists this long non-coding RNA (1042 nucleotides) under Felis catus (domestic cat). RNAcentral describes it as "lncRNA (ENSFCAG00000045837.2)". Lineage: Eukaryota; Metazoa; Chordata; Mammalia; Carnivora; Felidae. The record is from RNAcentral.